UACGUAGGGGGCGAGCGUUGUCCGGAAUCAUUGGGCGUAAAGCGCGUGUAGGCGGCUCGUUAAGUCCGGUGUGAAACCUUGGGGCUCAACCCUCGGAUGCCGGUGGAUACUGUCGGGCUUGAGUACGGAAGAGGCGAGUGGAAUUCCUGGUGUAGCGGUGAAAUGCGCAGAUAUCAGGAGGAACACCAAUUGCGAAGGCAGCUCGCUGGGACGUUACUGACGCUGAGACGCGAAAGCGUGGGGAGCAAACAGG
RNAcentral lists this ribosomal RNA (253 nucleotides) under uncultured bacterium. RNAcentral's name for it is "partial 16S ribosomal RNA". It matches the Rfam family "Bacterial small subunit ribosomal RNA", at positions 524 to 776 of the family's 1533-position model. The record is from RNAcentral.